UACGUAGGGUGCGAGCGUUAAUCGGAAUUACUGGGCGUAAAGCGUGCGCAGGCGGUCUGUUAAGACAGAUGUGAAAUCCCCGGGCUUAACCUGGGAACUGCAUUUGUGACUGGCAGGCUAGAGUAUGGCAGAGGGGGGUAGAAUUCCACGUGUAGCAGUGAAAUGCGUAGAGAUGUGGAGGAACACCGAUGGCGAAGGCAGCCCCCUGGGCCAAUACUGACGCUCAUGCACGAAAGCGUGGGGAGCAAACAGG
Molecule: ribosomal RNA, 253 nt
Filed under: uncultured bacterium
Lineage: Bacteria
Description: partial 16S ribosomal RNA
Rfam family: Bacterial small subunit ribosomal RNA
Source: RNAcentral